This 69-nucleotide transfer RNA is filed under the name Candidatus Aenigmatarchaeota archaeon. RNAcentral describes it as "tRNA-Arg". The stretch from base 3 to 61 matches the Rfam family "tRNA", at positions 8 to 63 of the family's 71-position model. From Rfam's summary of the family: Transfer RNA (tRNA) molecules are approximately 80 nucleotides in length. Their secondary structure includes four short double-helical elements and three loops (D, anti-codon, and T loops). Lineage: Archaea; Nanobdellati; Candidatus Aenigmatarchaeota. The record is from RNAcentral.
GAUAGUUUAGCUUGGAUAGAAUGUUAGGUUGCGGACCUAAUGACUCGGGUUCAAAUCCCGGCGGGGGCA